RNAcentral lists this ribosomal RNA (301 nucleotides) under uncultured bacterium. RNAcentral describes it as "partial 16S ribosomal RNA". It matches the Rfam family "Bacterial small subunit ribosomal RNA", at positions 509 to 809 of the family's 1533-position model. The record is from RNAcentral.
CAGCAGCCGCGGUAAUACGAAGGGUGCAAGCGUUAAUCGGAAUUACUGGGCGUAAAGCGUGCGUAGGCGGUUUGUUAAGUCUGUUGUGAAAUCCCCGGGCUCAAACUGGGAAUGGCAAUGGAUACUGGCAAGCUAGAGUGUGUCAGAGGAUGGUGGGAUUCCCGGUGUAGCGGUGAAAUGCGUAGAGAUCGGGAGGAACAUCAGUGGCGAAGGCGGCCAUCUGGGACAACACUGACGCUGAGGCACGAAAGCGUGGGGAGCAAACAGGAUUAGAGACCCGCGUAGUCCCUGUCUCUUAUAA